Molecule: long non-coding RNA, 670 nt
Organism: Heterocephalus glaber (naked mole-rat)
Lineage: Eukaryota; Metazoa; Chordata; Mammalia; Rodentia; Bathyergidae
Source: Ensembl
CUCCGAGGGAAGCGCUCGGGGCAGGGUAGGGAAAUCCUGCCUGGGGCUUCACGGUGGUAAAGCGGCAAAGGCUGGAUCUAAAGUCGGACAGUAAAGCCCCAAAGCCAGUGAUCUUCACGUAAUCGCCAAGGAGGCAAAGGUAGGACCGUCGCUCCAGCCACCAAGUCGAGCAGCACGAGGCUUAACCGCGAGGGUGCAGAGUCCGGAAACCUCACUGCCGUCCCGGCUCCGAGCUGCCUUUAAAACACCGCCACCUACAGUACCCGGGAUCGAACUCAGGACCUUGAGCUUGCGAGGCAGGCGCAGUGCCACUGAGCUACAUCCCCGGCCCGUGUCGUUCCAUUUAUUGCCAGGAGCACGGAACUGGACUGAAGUACAAGAUUCCUCGUCUAGAGGAGGAGACACAUUUCACACAGAAAUCACUGAGGCCGUCUCCAAAGAACCCCGGAGGGGAGAAGACACUUCUGCCCAGCGGCGUCCCACUGGCCUACAGAAAGAAAUGUGGGCAUGGCAGAAGAAGUGGAAGAAAUGAAAAUUCACGAAGAAGAAAAUAAAACUCAGUCAUAAGACCGCCAGCCAGAGGAGCACCACUAGUACAUUGAGGGGCAGAUGAUCCUUGGCUUUCUCAAAUACGACUUUGAGCAAAUCACACAUUAUAUGUCAAAAUCCC